UUCGCAAUGCCCGAAAGGGUGACGAAGCGACGCCGCGUGUGGGAAGAAGGCCUUCGGGUUGUAAACCACUGUCAGGAGUUAAGAAGUGUAGUGGUGCGAAUAGCGCUACUACUUGACUAAGGCUCCAGAGGAAGCCACGGCUAACUCUGUGCCAGCAGCCGCGGUAAUACAGAGGUGGCAAGCGUUGUUCGGAAUUAUUGGGCGUAAAGAGCACGUAGGCGGUUCUGCAAGUCGGCUGUGAAAGCCUUCCGCUCAACGGAAGAACAGCAGUUGAUACUACAGGACUCGAGUGCGGGAGGGGAGAGUGGAACUUCUGGUGGAGCGGUGAAAUGCGUAGAUAUCAGAAGGAACGCCGGCGGCGAAAGCGACUCUCUGGCCCGUAACUGACGCUGAGUGUGCGAAAGCUAGGGGAGCAAACGGGAUUAGAUACCCCGGUAGUCCUAGCCGUAAACGAUGGGCACUAAGUAGAGGGGUUUU
Molecule: ribosomal RNA, 477 nt
Filed under: uncultured anaerobic ammonium-oxidizing bacterium
Lineage: Bacteria
Description: bacterial SSU rRNA
Rfam family: Bacterial small subunit ribosomal RNA
Source: RNAcentral